This is an unclassified non-coding RNA of Macaca fascicularis (crab-eating macaque), 117 nucleotides long. It matches the Rfam family "Metazoan signal recognition particle RNA". From Rfam's summary of the family: The signal recognition particle (SRP) is a universally conserved ribonucleoprotein. It is involved in the co-translational targeting of proteins to membranes. The eukaryotic SRP consists of a 300-nucleotide 7S RNA and six proteins: SRPs 72, 68, 54, 19, 14, and 9. NCBI's taxonomy places the organism in Eukaryota, Metazoa, Chordata, Mammalia, Primates, Cercopithecidae. The record is from Ensembl.
GCCGGGUGUGGUGGUGCACGCCUGUAAUCCCAGCACUUUGGGAGGCCGAGGUAGGCGGAUCACUUGAGGCCAGGAGUUCAAGACCAGCCUGGCCAACAUGGUGAAACCCCAUCUCUA